AGAGUUUGAUCCUGGCUCAGAUUGAACGCUGGCGGCAUGCCUUACACAUGCAAGUCGAACGGCAGCACGGGUGCUUGCACCUGGUGGCGAGUGGCGAACGGGUGAGUAAUAUAUCGGAACGUACCUUAUUGUGGGGGAUAACGCAGCGAAAGCUGUGCUAAUACCGCAUAAUCCCUAAGGGGGAAAGCGGGGGACCGUAAGGCCUCGCGCAAUUAGAGCGGCCGAUACCUGAUUAGCUAGUUGGUGAGGUAAAGGCUCACCAAGGCAACGAUCAGUAGCUGGUCUGAGAGGACGAUCAGCCACACUGGGACUGAGACACGGCCCAGACUCCUACGGGAGGCAGCAGUGGGGAAUUUUGGACAAUGGGGGCAACCCUGAUCCAGCAAUGCCGCGUGAGUGAAGAAGGCCUUCGGGUUGUAAAGCUCUUUUGUCAGGGAAGAAACAGCAGCUCUAACACAGUUUGCGAAUGACGGUACCUGAAGAAUAAGCACCGGCUAACUACGUGCCAGCAGCCGCGGUAAUACGUAGGGUGCAAGCGUUAAUCGGAAUUACUGGGCGUAAAGCGUGCGCAGGCGGUUAUGUAAGACAGGCGUGAAAUCCCCGGGCUUAACCUGGGAAUUGCGCUUGUGACUGCAUAGCUAGAGUAUGUCAGAGGGGGGUAGAAUUCCACGUGUAGCAGUGAAAUGCGUAGAGAUGUGGAGGAAUACCAAUGGCGAAGGCAGCCCCCUGGGAUAAUACUGACGCUCAUGCACGAAAGCGUGGGGAGCAAACAGGAUUAGAUACCCUGGUAGUCCACGCCCUAAACGAUGCUGACUAGUUGUUCGGGAAUUUAUUCCUGAGUAACGUAGCUAACGCGUGAAGUCAGCCGCCUGGGGAGUACGGUCGCAAGAUUAAAACUCAAAGGAAUUGACGGGGACCCGCACAAGCGGUGGAUGAUGUGGAUUAAUUCGAUGCAACGCGAAAAACCUUACCUACCCUUGA
This 981-nucleotide ribosomal RNA is filed under the name uncultured bacterium. RNAcentral's name for it is "bacterial SSU rRNA". It matches the Rfam family "Bacterial small subunit ribosomal RNA", at positions 8 to 984 of the family's 1533-position model. The record is from RNAcentral.